UCUCUAUCUGUAUAAUCUAUAUAUCUCAUCUCAUAACAUAAAUCAAAACCCAGAUUUGAACAUACAUCACAUACUGAAAUCCAGAUCUUGCGGGUGUUUGAACGAGAUCAAGUGGAACAGCAGCCGCAGGUUUAGUGUUCCACUUCGUUACACAACCGCAAGCCAAGCUCUUGUGGGUACUAGCUACUAGGCAGAUGUGGGUGGCGGUGGUUGGGGCAAAAGUGGGAGACGGCGGUUUAGGGCAGAGGUGGGUGGCGCCAGUUGUGGUCAGCAGGUGGAUUGUUUCCGGUGGUUGACUGCAGUGGUGGUGAUUGUCUCCGGUGGCGACGGUUGUGGUCAACUGGUGGUGGUGUUUGUCCUGGUUAUAAGAAUCUUCGCUAGUGGAGUUGAUUAGAAGUGAUGUUAUGCUGGUUAGAUUGAUAGGAUUUUGGUUUUAAUUAUAAAGCUAUGUACCGAUAAUAUGGUGGAGUUUGCAUAAAUGGAUAUCAAAGGAAGCUUUUACUUUACACCAUCACAUACGAAUCGGCUACAACUUGGAGCAUAUAUAUGUAAUUUUCACUUUUAGCAUUUUUAUAUAUUGGGGAUGGAUUUGAUGAAAUUAGUUGAUGGGUUUUAUGCUUUAAUGGGAUCUAGAGAUUGGUUUUAAUGAAAAUUGAUUAAUGAUUAUGAUUUGAGGAUGUGUAUCGUGUGUGUAUGAGAAAUAUAAAGAUUUGAUGA
Erigeron canadensis is the source of this 717-nucleotide long non-coding RNA. RefSeq lists it as uncharacterized. The record is from RefSeq and is a predicted model, not a curated record. The transcript is spliced from 2 exons. Lineage: Eukaryota; Viridiplantae; Streptophyta; Magnoliopsida; Asterales; Asteraceae.